AGGGAUCAUUGCUGGAACGCGCCCCAGGCGCACCCAGAAACCCUUUGUGAACUUAUACCUUUUGUUGCCUCGGCGCAUGCUGGCCUCUAGUAGGCCCCUCACCCCGGUGAGGAGAAGGCACGCCGGCGGCCAAGUUAACUCUUGUUUUUACACUGAAACUCUGAGAAAAAACACAAAUGAAUCAAAACUUUCAACAACGGAUCUCUUGGUUCUGGCAUCGAUGAAGAACGCAGCGAAAUGCGAUAAGUAAUGUGAAUUGCAGAAUUCAGUGAAUCAUCGAAUCUUUGAACGCACAUUGCGCCCUCUGGUAUUCCGGAGGGCAUGCCUGUUCGAGCGUCAUUUCAACCCUCAAGCAUUGCUUGGUGUUGGGGCACUGCUUCUAACGAAGCAGGCCCUGAAAUCUAGUGGCGAGCUCGCCAGGACCCCGAGCGCAGUAGUUAAACCCUCGCUCUGGAAGGCCCUGGCGGUGCCCUGCCGUUAAACCCCCAACUUUUGAAAAUUUGACCUCGGAUCAGGUAGGAAUACCCGCUGAACUUAA
This 538-nucleotide ribosomal RNA is filed under the name Diaporthe phaseolorum. RNAcentral describes it as "eukaryotic LSU rRNA". The stretch from base 186 to 339 matches the Rfam family "5.8S ribosomal RNA". The record is from RNAcentral. Lineage: Eukaryota; Fungi; Ascomycota; Sordariomycetes; Diaporthales; Diaporthaceae.